This 253-nucleotide ribosomal RNA is filed under the name uncultured bacterium. Its description in RNAcentral is "partial 16S ribosomal RNA". It matches the Rfam family "Bacterial small subunit ribosomal RNA", at positions 524 to 776 of the family's 1533-position model. The record is from RNAcentral.
UACGUAGGGUGCGAGCGUUGUCCGGAAUUAUUGGGCGUAAAGGGCUCGUAGGCGGUUUGUCGCGUCGGGAGUGAAAACACACAGCUUAACUGUGUGCUUGCUUCCGAUACGGGCAGACUAGAGGUAUGCAGGGGAGAACGGAAUUCCCGGUGUAGUGGUGAAAUGCGUAGAUAUCGGGAGGAACACCAGUGGCGAAGGCGACUACCUGGCCUGUUCUUGACGCUGAGGCGCGAAAGCUAGGGGAGCAAACGGG